CCCUCAGUACGGUUGGUAAUCGUACGUAGAGCGCAUUAGUAUAAGGGAGCUUGACUGUGAGACAUACAGGUCGAGCAGGGGCGAAAGCCGGCUAAAGUGAUCCGGUGGUUCUGCAUGGAAGGGCCAUCGCUCAAAGGAUAAAAGGUACUCCGGGGAUAACAGGCUGAUCUCCCCCAAGAGCUCAUAUCGACGGGGAGGUUUGGCACCUCGAUGUCGGUUCGUCACAUCCUGGGGCUGGAGAAGGUCCCAAGGGUUCGGCUGUUCGCCGAUUAAAGUGGCACGUGAACUGGGUUCAGAACGUCGCAAGACAGUUCGGUCUCUAUCUGUGGUGGGCGUUGUAACAUUGAAAGGAGCUGACUCUAGUACGAGAGGACCGAGUCGGACGUACCACUAGUGUAUCUGUUGUGCCGCCAGGUGCAGCGCAGAGUAGCUACGUACGGACUAGAUAAGCGCUGAAAGCAUCUAAGCGCGAAGCUAUCCUUGAGAUGAGUGUUACUGGGGUCGUAGUAGACGACUACGUUGAUAGGCUACAGGUGUAAUCGUAGUAAUACGUUCAGCUGAGUAGUACUAAUUACCCCUUCGCUUCCUUUU
Molecule: ribosomal RNA, 591 nt
Filed under: Bacteroidota bacterium
Lineage: Bacteria; Pseudomonadati; Bacteroidota
Description: partial 23S ribosomal RNA
Rfam family: Bacterial large subunit ribosomal RNA
Source: RNAcentral